AAAACCAUAAGAUCUGCAUACCCCGUCCGGUAUGUGAGACCACAAUCCCGGUAGGGUUCCCUACGGACCUGGUCCGUCCACCAUCUCCCAGGAUAUCUAGUUAGGCUGACCCUCAUAAUACAAUUAUCAGUUUACACAAUCUUUCAUUUUCCUUUUCCUCAGUCAGCAUCAUCAAUUCACAUACAAACAAGCAAAACAGUAAUUCAUGCCGAACAGACAACAUACAGUAUCAGUUUUUCAGUCAUUCAACCCAUGAUUAAUAAAAACGCAGUAUUUGCACACAAAUCUGUAAAAUGAACACAUCAAACCUCAUUUGCAUUUAAAGCUGUAAACAGGCUAAAUAACAGUAAAUCACCAAUCACACUAGACUCGGGCUCCAUUAGUCACCUUAAGCAAUUUCACACAUUCGUUAAUUCAAGAAAUACCGUUUUAUC
RNAcentral lists this long non-coding RNA (434 nucleotides) under Carica papaya (papaya). Its description in RNAcentral is "long non-coding RNA (CPAP_LNC014515)". The record is from RNAcentral. Lineage: Eukaryota; Viridiplantae; Streptophyta; Magnoliopsida; Brassicales; Caricaceae.